RNAcentral lists this long non-coding RNA (1276 nucleotides) under Homo sapiens (human). RNAcentral's name for it is "HSALNT0306436". The record is from RNAcentral. Lineage: Eukaryota; Metazoa; Chordata; Mammalia; Primates; Hominidae.
CAAAUGAUCCACCUGCCUUGGCCUCUCGAAGUGCUGGGAUUGCAGGCAUGAGCCACCACGCCUGGCCUUCCUGGGACACCUUUACAGUGGGAAGCAAACAUUCACCAGAGCUGGGAGAAAAAAGCAUGCAAGAAUUGGAAUGAAGAGAUGCACUGGGCUGCUUCUGGACAAGCUGUCUGUCUAGGCAAGAGUCAGCAAAGUGGAUUGCCUUGCAUCAUGGCCAGGGUGUGUGCAUUCAACUUUGGCAGUCUUGGCCUGAGUGACAGAAUACUGGAAGGUCCUAAUAAGCUUCUCCAAUGAGCAUAGGCAGUGAUGGAACCAAACCAUCAAAAUGAGCUCUUCAAAGAAGAACCCAGGUUUUCCUCUUCAGCUGCAUAUGAUCAAUUCUAAUUAAAUGGUAAAGGAAAGAAGAAUAGAAGGAAAGAAUUCUUGAAAAUCUGUCAUUCAAGAAUUUAUAGAUCAUCUUAACUCUGAGAUAAAGUGAAAAAAAGAGCUCAUGUUCCAGCAGAUGAGAAAGACAUGGAAACAGUCAUUGCAAGACACUGACAGGAGCCACAAACCAGGAUACCAGGCAUCUAAUAGGAAGGCUGGGCCCAUUCAGUCCAGAUUUAUAACAACUCCUCAAGGAAUCUGUGAAACCAACUGCAAGUACUUGUUGAGACUAAGCCAACAUUCUUUGCAGUAAGAACCAGAGAAAUUUUAUUCUCUGUGCUUAACAACAAAGGACUUCAAGAAUUGCUUCUGUCUCUCCUUCAUGAGAAAAGUGGCUGGCAAUCACUCUUAACCUGUCUAGUUGAAGGCAUAGCUCUGGUCUGAUCUAGGUCACCAUUGGGCUUCCUGUGCUGUCAUCUGCUGCCUCUUGCCGCAGAUUCCUGGUGGUAUGUCUCAGCCUUUGCAUGAAACACAACCAUGAAACACUAAGUGCCAAUCAUUUCCUAUAAACUGCUUUGAUUUCCUCCAUGAAGCUCUUUUAAAAAAUCUGGUAUUGUGGUAUUUAUAGCUUCCUGUUUCUGCCACCUACAUAUUCUGAUGGUUGUUGUGCUUUCUCUUUGGAGAUAGAUAAACAUUCACAGCACCAAAGGGAGUAAGGGCUUUGUACCUUUUUUCAUGGAAAGAGUUAGUCAUAUUUAGAUUGAAGUUAUAGCUUAAAAAGGAGCCCUCGUUGUAUAGAAACAUGGAUGCCAUGACACCUCCAGUGCAAUAUUUUUAAGCCUCUCCCUGCCAUUGGUCACUUACAUAGUACUGUUAAAUCACUCUGUGGAAUAUUGUUUCUAUC